AGGGUUCGAUUCUGGCUCAGGAUGAACGCUGGCGGCGUGCUUAACACAUGCAAGUCGAACGGGAUCCCAGGAGCUUGCUCCUGGGUGAGAGUGGCGAACGGGUGAGUAAUGCGUGACCGACCUGCCCCAUACACCGGAAUAGCUCCUGGAAACGGGUGGUAAUGCCGGAUGCUCCAGUUGGAUGCAUGUCCUUCUGGGAAAGAUUCAUCGGUAUGGGAUGGGGUCGCGUCCUAUCAGCUUGAUGGCGGGGUAACGGCCCACCAUGGCUUCGACGGGUAGCCGGCCUGAGAGGGCGACCGGCCACAUUGGGACUGAGAUACGGCCCAGACUCCUACGGGAGGCAGCAGUGGGGAAUAUUGCACAAUGGGCGCAAGCCUGAUGCAGCGACGCCGCGUGCGGGAUGACGGCCUUCGGGUUGUAAACCGCUUUUGACUGGGAGCAAGCCCUUCGGGGUGAGUGUACCUUUCGAAUAAGCACCGGCUAACUACGUGCCAGCAGCCGCGGUAAUACGUAGGGUGCAAGCGUUAUCCGGAAUUAUUGGGCGUAAAGGGCUCGUAGGCGGUUCGUCGCGUCCGGUGUGAAAGUCCAUCGCUUAACGGUGGAUCCGCGCCGGGUACGGGCGGGCUUGAGUGCGGUAGGGGAGACUGGAAUUCCCGGUGUAACGGUGGAAUGUGUAGAUAUCGGGAAGAACACCAAUGGCGAAGGCAGGUCUCUGGGCCGUCACUGACGCUGAGGAGCGAAAGCGUGGGGAGCGAACAGGAUUAGAUACCCUGGUAGUCCACGCCGUAAACGGUGGAUGCUGGAUGUGGGGACCAUUCCACGGUCUCCGUGUCGGAGCCAACGCGUUAAGCAUCCCGCCUGGGGAGUACGGCCGCAAGGCUAAAACUCAAAGAAAUUGACGGGGGCCCGCAC
This 912-nucleotide ribosomal RNA is filed under the name Clostridium saudiense. RNAcentral describes it as "bacterial SSU rRNA". It matches the Rfam family "Bacterial small subunit ribosomal RNA", at positions 8 to 926 of the family's 1533-position model. Lineage: Bacteria; Bacillati; Bacillota; Clostridia; Eubacteriales; Clostridiaceae. The record is from RNAcentral.